Molecule: ribosomal RNA, 253 nt
Filed under: uncultured bacterium
Lineage: Bacteria
Description: partial 16S ribosomal RNA
Rfam family: Bacterial small subunit ribosomal RNA
Source: RNAcentral
UCCGUAGGGUGCAAGCGUUGUCCGGAAUUAUUGGGCGUAAAGAGCUCGUAGGCGGUCUGUCGCGUCGGAUGUGAAAACCCAGGGCUCAACCCUGGGCCUGCAUUCGAUACGGGCAGACUAGAGUUCGGUAGGGGAGACUGGAAUUCCUGGUGUAGCGGUGAAAUGCGCAGAUAUCAGGAGGAACACCGGUGGCGAAGGCGGGUCUCUGGGCCGAAACUGACGCUGAGGAGCGAAAGCGUGGGGAGCAAACAGG